RNAcentral lists this ribosomal RNA (491 nucleotides) under uncultured bacterium. Its description in RNAcentral is "partial 16S ribosomal RNA". It matches the Rfam family "Bacterial small subunit ribosomal RNA", at positions 899 to 1397 of the family's 1533-position model. The record is from RNAcentral.
ACUCAAAUGAAUUGACGGGGACCCGCACAAGCGGUGGAGCAUGUGGUUUAAUUCGAAACAAAGCGAAAAACCUUACCAAGGCUUGAAAAUAUAGCUGCAAGUCCGAUGGAAACAUUGGACCUUCUUCGAGAGUGCUAUAACAGGUGCUGCAUGGCUGUCGUCAGCUUGUACCGUGAGGCGCACCCUUAAGUGGGUCAACAAGCGCAACCCCCACUCUGUGUUAAAUAUUCACGGAGAACCGCUCGUUAAAAACGUUGAGGAAGGCGGGGAUGACGUCAAGUCAGCACGGCCCUUAUGCCUUGGGCUACACACAUCCUACAAUGGAUGUCUUACAGCGAGUUUGCAACACGGCAACGUGAAGCUAAUCUCACAAAAGCAUCCUCAGUUCAGAUUGAGGGCUGAAAUUCGCCCUCAUGAAGUUGAAAUCGCUAGUAAUCGCGGAUCAGCAGGCCGCGGUGAAUACGUUCUCGGGUCUUGUACACACCGCCCGU